Molecule: ribosomal RNA, 880 nt
Filed under: uncultured bacterium
Lineage: Bacteria
Description: bacterial SSU rRNA
Rfam family: Bacterial small subunit ribosomal RNA
Source: RNAcentral
CAGGACGAACGCUGGCGGCGUGCUUAACACAUGCAAGUCGAACGAUGAACUGGAGCUUGCUCCAGGGAUUAGUGGCGAACGGGUGAGUAACACGUGAGUAACCUGCCCUUGACUCUGGGAUAAGCGCUAGAAAUGGCGUCUAAUACCGGAUACGAGCUUCAGCCGCAUGGCUAGGAGUUGGAAAGAAUUUUGGUCAAGGAUGGACUCGCGGCCUAUCAGCUAGUUGGUGAGGUAAUGGCUCACCAAGGCGACGACGGGUAGCCGGCCUGAGAGGGUGACCGGCCACACUGGGACUGAGACACGGCCCAGACUCCUACGGGAGGCAGCAGUGGGGAAUAUUGCACAAUGGGCGAAAGCCUGAUGCAGCAACGCCGCGUGAGGGAUGACGGCCUUCGGGAUGUAAACCUCUUUUAGUAGGGAAGAAGCGAAAGUGACGGUACCUGCAGAAAAAGCACCGGCUAACUACGUGCCAGCAGCCGCGGUAAUACGUAGGGUGCAAGCGUUGUCCGGAAUUAUUGGGCGUAAAGAGCUCGUAGGCGGUUUGUCGCGUCUGCUGUGAAAUCUGGGGGCUCAACCCCCAGCCUGCAGUGGGUACGGGCAGACUAGAGUGCGGUAGGGGAGAUUGGAAUUCCUGGUGUAGCGGUGGAAUGCGCAGAUAUCAGGAGGAACACCGAUGGCGAAGGCAGAUCUCUGGGCCGUAACUGACGCUGAGGAGCGAAAGCAUGGGGAGCGAACAGGAUUAGAUACCCUGGUAGUCCAUGCCGUAAACGUUGGGAACUAGAUGUGGGGGCCAUUCCACGGUCUCCGUGUCGCAGCUAACGCAUUAAGUUCCCCGCCUGGGGAGUACGGCCGCAAGGCUAAAACUCAAAGGAAUUGACGG